AGGACGAACGCUGGCGGCGUGCUUAACACAUGCAAGUCGAGCGGUAAGGCCUCCUUCGGGGGGUACACGAGCGGCGAACGGGUGAGUAACACGUGGGUGACCUGCCCUCAGCUCUGGGAUAAGCCUGGGAAACCGGGUCUAAUACCGGAUGGGACUGCUUGCCGCAUGGUGGGUGGUGGAAAGUUUUUUCGGCUGGGGAUGGGCCCGCGGCCUAUCAGCUUGUUGGUGGGGUGAUGGCCUACCAAGGCGGUGACGGUA
This 258-nucleotide ribosomal RNA is filed under the name uncultured bacterium. RNAcentral's name for it is "partial small subunit ribosomal RNA". It matches the Rfam family "Bacterial small subunit ribosomal RNA", at positions 26 to 285 of the family's 1533-position model. The record is from RNAcentral.